This 2949-nucleotide long non-coding RNA is filed under the name Lytechinus variegatus (green sea urchin). Its description in RNAcentral is "uncharacterized LOC121429982". The record is from RNAcentral. Lineage: Eukaryota; Metazoa; Echinodermata; Echinoidea; Temnopleuroida; Toxopneustidae.
CGUCUCUUCGCUGUCUACCAGUUGUUGUUUUUUGCCACUACGAAUAACAAUAUAUCAUUCAUCAUUAUGAUUCUUGCGGAUUGUUUCAUCAAAGGAUAAACUCAGAUUCCGAGUUUGAACUGUUACAGCCAGUAUUUGAGCUGCAUUUUAACACGUGGAGGACCCAUACAAACAAUAUUUUCGGGAUUUUUUGUUUCCAGUAUACAAUUUUCGCUAUCAUAUUUUUCACACUGAAGAUCUUUCAUAAUUUUAUCUUCAUCGAGACUUUUUUUUCAUCUGACUAAACAUCAUCAGACAACGGACUAAAGGCAAAGAUUCCAGGAAGACUUGCAUAAAAAUUUGACAUCCGAUUGACAAGGAGGAGUGAGCAGAAGUAGGCAUCACGGUAAAUACGAUCUCUCACUGAAUGGGAAGAUAUUGGAACACCGUAAUCAUAUCUCCACCGCGGUCGAAAAUGAAUUCGCCGCCGAGUCCUAGCAGUCCCAAGUCACCAAGUAAAUUCCUUCAGACGCUGAGAAACUCGCCUUCAUUACUACGAAAACGAUUCAUGAAUUCUGACAGUGAGUUAUACUGCGACGGAACCAAGGAGCGAUCAUUUCAUGUGCGUUACGAUGGACGUGUAACGGUGCGGUCACUGCGGGUUCGUGACGCGGUUACCGCGGUCGAAAAAUUAGCCCCGUUAUGUAAAGCGCAACAAAACCACCAUCAGCCAAUCAACACCACGUGUUCGUUGCGCGUGGAUAAAAGCACGAUCACAUUCGAAGACUCCUCCCAUGAUGUGCUUGAGUCGUUACCGCUGUUCUGUAUCGCGUAUUGCGCGACGGACCUUCGGCAUCCACGCGCGGUGGCGUUGACAUGCAAAACAAGAGAGUCUAUCCAUUGUUACGUAUUCGAAGCGACGUCGCGGGACAAAGCGUCAGAAAUCGUGAACUAUGUGAGGAAAGCUUUUGAAGCAGCAUGGAUGGACUGGAAACGAAGUCACCCAGAAGGUGAAGAUCCAAGAGAAAGGCAAAUCAGAUUAUCACCUCCUGGACAUGUACCGCUUUAACAAUCUAUCGAGAAAAAAACAAUCAUUUCUAUCAAAUUUGCCAGAGUAACCAUGGGAACGCCGAAAGAUGAUAAAUUGUGUGCUAUAUUAUUUUCUUGCCUAUAAUUAUGACAGCUCUUUAUUUAUAUCCGGAGUUCUGUUGCAUCAGAGCCGGUGGUCUCAGUUUCAAGUGACGCGAGCCCGCGGGAGAGAUAAAGUUACUGGUAUUAUAAUAAAAUGUCUCAAUUUAAUUUUUUGCCAUGUGACUUUUGUAUAAGUCUCUUUUUAUUUCUCUUGCGUUACGACAAUGAUUUUUCUAAUCAUUUAUUGAUACGCGGUAUUCAGCUACAUAAGUGGCCUUACAUAUGCCUAACUAUUUAUUAAUAUUCUAUUGUUAUGAUAAAAAAUUAUUUAUAUAUCAACUAUAUCAAAUUGGUUCGUUAUGAGAAUAUUGAGAUGUGGUCAUCAUUGUCCAGGUAUACAUUCACUUUAAUGUGAUAAGAAAUGACGUCUGUGUUCUGAGCUAUGUAUUCAAUGCUGUAUCUUCUUCUUCGUUCUCGGACUUUGAACUCGAUCUAUAUAGGCUUAUUUGUUUGUCCCUCGUAAAUAAUUUUCCCGCUUUAUUAUUAACCAGAUUAUACCACUUGGGACUUACAGAUUACACAUGAUGAUUUUCAACCAGUGGACAGCUGGUUGUUUCACCCAUGUCUGAUUUUAUUCCACAACGCCAAUCAGGUGCGUCGGUCACCGUAUGAAAAUGUUGAUGGUGGUAAUGCAGACUUGUCGAUAGGGAGUUGGCAGGGUAAAUUGCCAAUUCGUCUACUGACAACUCGUGCACUCACCACAUGGUCUACGUUCAUUUAGCCUAGUGCCAUUCCGUCCAUCAACAUUUCGUCUAACAACCAUCUGGUCCAAUAACCAUUUGCUCCAAUCAUCACUUCGUCUAUAAUCACCAGUUCGCCUAUGACAUUUUCGUCUCAUAACAGUUGGUCUGAUAUCCGUUCCAUUUUCAUCCAUUUUGCACAUGCAACACUAAGUCCAGUUAGACCAAUUGGUUAAAUGGCUAUUGGACCAACUGGUUAUUAGACCAAUGGUGUGUGGACGUAUUGGCAGUUAGACCAUUUGCAUAGUGGACGAACUGACGGUAAACCAAAUAAUAGUAGACGAAUUGGCAAUUGGACGAAUUGCCAUUAGACGAAUUGGAACUAAACCGUUUGUCCCCUUGCAAUGGUAAUGGGAAAAAAACGCGAGGGAGUUUGAAUGGGGAGAUAUUUUUCCAAAAAAAAAUGAUACCGGCGUUAUGAUAUUGACAUGUGCUUGCUCUUGCGGGUUUCUUUUCUUUUCCUUUCUUUCCAUGAAUAUAAUUUUUGGGGCGGUUGCACUAGGAAUACCCCUUCCACAAUUAUGUGUCACAUUGAUUGUUUCAACUAUUUAAAUUUGCCAUCAUCGUUUCAAGUGCAUCAUCAUUUGGUAAACUGGCCACAUGCUUUGCUAUUAAAUGUAAAAUACAAACAAAAAUUAAUUUUAUUGACAAUAUGAGAUGUAGGCCUUUGUUCCGGAUUUCAGCUAUGCUGUGCUUAAUGAAGGCCUUUUAAAUCACUUAUUGUAUUACGAAUAGGUUACCACCUAGGCGCAAUGUUUAAGACAUUUGACUUUAUGUAUAUUCUUAUUUGCUGUCGUUUUCUUUUUCCUUCAUUGUUUUAGUCAUUUCUGUAUUCACUUGUGCGUCUUGUAUGUAAUAAUGAAUGGUUAAACCAUUGAUGUUUCUGACCCACACAAAAUGUAUCAUAUUUAUUCAUCCUUUGACAAUAGAUUUCAAUAUCAUCAUUAGUGACAGAAUCGUGAACCAUUCACUGUCGUGGUCGCAAGUCUCCUAUAUUUACAAAAAUUUGAAUGAUAUGGAAUCUAAUAAAAGCACAUUU